This 473-nucleotide ribosomal RNA is filed under the name uncultured bacterium. RNAcentral describes it as "bacterial SSU rRNA". It matches the Rfam family "Bacterial small subunit ribosomal RNA", at positions 335 to 801 of the family's 1533-position model. The record is from RNAcentral.
ACUCCUACGGGAGGCAGCAGUAGGGAAUCUUCCACAAUGGGCGCAAGCCUGAUGGAGCGACACCGCGUGAGUGAAGAAGGGUUUCGGCUCGUAAAGCUCUGUUGUUAAAGAAGAACACGUAUGAGAGUAACUGUUCAUACGUUGACGGUAUUUAACCAGAAAGUCACGGCUAACUACGUGCCAGCAGCCGCGGUAAUACGUAGGUGGCAAGCGUUAUCCGGAUUUAUUGGGCGUAAAGAGAGUGCAGGCGGUUUUCUAAGUCUGAUGUGAAAGCCUUCGGCUUAACCGGAGAAGUGCAUCGGAAACUGGAUAACUUGAGUGCAGAAGAGGGUAGUGGAACUCCAUGUGUAGCGGUGGAAUGCGUAGAUAUAUGGAAGAACACCAGUGGCGAAGGCGGCUACCUGGUCUGCAACUGACGCUGAGACUCGAAAGCAUGGGUAGCGAACAGGAUUAGAUACCCUGGUAGGAUAGCG